This 615-nucleotide long non-coding RNA is filed under the name Strigops habroptila (Kakapo). Its description in RNAcentral is "lncRNA (ENSSHBG00005011165.1)". The record is from RNAcentral. Lineage: Eukaryota; Metazoa; Chordata; Aves; Psittaciformes; Psittacidae.
GAGAGCUCGGGCGCGAUCUCGGCCGGGGAGCGUCGCUGAGAGGAAGCUUUCUGCAAUGUCUCCAGGUAACUUCGAAGCACCGAUCUCAAAGCAGGAAAACCUGCUGAGAUGUGGCAGGUCCCAACACUAUGCCGUGCUCAGAUUUGAGAAGGACAAAGAUUAAAAGAAGAGGGGAAAUGAAAAGCAGGGUACUGGAGGAUGAACGAUACCAACCUUAAUGAUACACAACACCAUCUUGUGCUGCUUAUUUCUGUGCCUCGAACUGUUUGCCACAAUUUCUCUGAAAAAAAAGCCAGAAAAUGUGUGUUUUAAAAUGCCAUUCCCCUGUAAUGUGAAUCACAGUAAAAUACUGCUGUAGGAUCUCCUGAACACCAGCCAGAUCAGCAGUCGGUACCAUGAAGAGAGGAAGAACAUGCAUGAGCUGUCUGACCCAACAACAGCUGAAUAAAGAAUAACCUGAGAUUUGCAACCAUAAAGCUUGCAACCAUAAACCAUUGCAAAUUAGCAGUAAUGGAGAGAACUAACAUUACAUGUCUUUAUAGGGCUUUGCUAAACUAAGUAACAAAUUAAUUGGUUUUAAUAAAUAACUCCUUUUCUUUCCUGUAGGCACUGGGA